CCUACGGGGGGCAGCAGUCGAGAAUCAUUCACAAUGGGGGAAACUCUGAUGGUGCGACGCCGCGUGGGGGAAUGAAGGUCUUCGGAUUGUAAACCCCUGUCAUGUGGGAGCAAAUUAAAAAGAUAGUACCACAAGAGGAAGAGACGGCUAACUCUGUGCCAGCCGCCGCGGUAAUACAGAGGUCUCAUGCGUUGUUCGGAAUCACUGGGCGUAAAGCGUGCGUAGGCUGUUUCGUAAGUCGUGUGUGAAAGGCGCGGGCUCAACCCGCGGACGGCACAUGAUACUGGGAGACUAGAGUAAUGGAAGGGGAACCGGAAUUCUCGGUGUAGCAGUGAAAUGCGUAGAUAUCGAGAGGAACACUCGUGGCGAAGGCGGGUGCCUGGACAUUAACUGACGCUGAGGCACGAAGGCCAGGGGAGCGAAAGGGAUUAGAUACCCUGGUAGUC
RNAcentral lists this ribosomal RNA (446 nucleotides) under uncultured bacterium. RNAcentral describes it as "partial 16S ribosomal RNA". It matches the Rfam family "Bacterial small subunit ribosomal RNA", at positions 338 to 795 of the family's 1533-position model. The record is from RNAcentral.